RNAcentral lists this unclassified non-coding RNA (1798 nucleotides) under Apis dorsata (giant honeybee). RNAcentral's name for it is "qRFP-like peptide receptor, transcript variant X3". The record is from RNAcentral. Lineage: Eukaryota; Metazoa; Arthropoda; Insecta; Hymenoptera; Apidae.
CGUCCGGCUUUCAGUUUAUAGAUACCGUUCUGUGAAGUAACAUCGUGACGUGUGAAUUGAAUUUCAAACUUUUUUUUUUGUGCUUUUUGAACAAUAAGUGAUACAAUCAGUGAAUAAUUUUAAACUAUGACAACUACACGACAUCAUAGAACAUGGUUUAACUACGUUUUUCGCAGUAUUUUUUAAGGUAACGAGAGUGUGGCAACGCAACGACGUGGUGGCGCGUAAAAACGGUGGCAAGGGAAGCAUGCGAAGAAAAGAGGGCGGAGGAAGAUUUGUGGUCGCGGGGGAAAGGAAGGGUUCCCAAGGAAUCGCGUUAGAGGAAGGGAGGUCGUCGAAAAUUGUCGAUGCAGUUGGUCGAAGCGUGUGAGAGGCGGCCAGGAUGGAAAACGGGGUGGUGAACGGUGGACAAGUUGCUUCUCAAGUGUCGUUAAGAAGUUAAUCUCAGCCAUGCCGAACGAGACAAAUGCCACGGACGAUUUUAUCGAUUACGAUAUCAACGACUCGUUGAGCCACUUCGAUUGGGCGGAACUGGGGCCUGUCCUCGUCGUCUACUCCCUCACGUUUUUCCUCGGAUUAAUCGGAAACGUCGUCAUCAUUGGUUCAACACUGUGCCCCAGACUGAGACCUUUACCAGCGACACCGACCAACGUCUUUCUAGGUGGUUUGGCAACUGCCGAUCUUUUGCUUAUACUCUUUUGCAUUCCCGUGAAGGUGGCGAAGCUGUUCUCGUACACGUGGACUAUGGGCCUGUUUCUAUGCAAGUCGGUCCACUAUAUGCAGAGCGUCUCGGCUAUUUGCUCGGUCGUCACGUUAACCGCAAUGUCGAUCGAAAGAUAUUACGCCAUAGUUCACCCUAUGCGGGCCCAGUACACGUGCACGAUAAGCCAGGCUCGCAAAAUAGUAAUUACAACUUGGGUGGCGUCCUUCCUUCUUGGUAUACCAAUGAUCUUCACGCAGACACACAAGGAAGUCGGAUUGAGGGUAAUCGCUUAUUGGUGCGUUCGUGAUUCGGAAGGUGGACUUUUAUGGCGCGCCCACGAGGUUUAUAUGCUGGUGUUGGUCCUGGUGUUACCCCUAGCCGUGAUGGCGUAUUGUUACACGGCUAUUUGCUGGGAGAUUUGGCGAGUCAUGAAACGCCGAUACCACAUGACAUCGCGCCGCGUAUUGAAUCCAAGUAACGUGGACGCAGAAUCCAUACCCAUGACACAGAGGAAUAGCGUGCGAAACAAUAAUCGUCGUUCUCAACGAGAGGACAGUCAAACAGAAGAAGAAUCUCGUACGAUAAGACAGGUGGUGAAGAUGUUGGUGGCCGUGGUGGUGUUGUUCGUCAUUUGCUGGGGUCCAAUUCUCGUGGAUAACAUGCUAACAGCUUAUGGAUACCUGCCACGCGUAAAAGUUGGCACGUACAAGCAUCUUAACACCGCUUUUCAGCUGAUGGCUUAUUUUAACAGUUGCAUAAAUCCAAUCGUUUAUGGGUUUAUGUCGAAACACUUCAGGGAGAGUUUCUUGGCCGCUGCCUGCGGCAGCUGGUGGAUCUGUUGUCCCCGGAGAGGGUACAGGGCGCCGGUGAAGAGGCAUCCGAGCCUAAGCCAGACAAGGACGACCAGUAUAAGGUGGACGCGAAACUCCUUCCAGGAGUCGAAGUAUCGAAACUCGAGCGACAACCAUCUCGUAGCACAUCCGUGAAUUAAACAAUUUGGCAACGUAGGUCCACCAGCAUCCGAAAUAUCAUAUAUAGAGAUGGACUUGAUUAUUUCGUCAUGCCCGGCCCACGUCGAGGCACUUGUUUCACAGG